GGUGAUAUAGCUCAACUGGUAGAGUAUUUGCCUGGCAAGCACAAAGUCCUGGGUUCAAUCCCCAGCACCA
This 70-nucleotide transfer RNA is filed under the name Mus musculus (house mouse). It matches the Rfam family "tRNA". Rfam says of the family: Transfer RNA (tRNA) molecules are approximately 80 nucleotides in length. RNAcentral also lists the same sequence under 1 other name. The record is from Rfam by way of RNAcentral. Lineage: Eukaryota; Metazoa; Chordata; Mammalia; Rodentia; Muridae.